CGCAUCUUUUGUCUUCUUACACAUUAUAAAGUAUUUCUUACCAAAACAGAAGAAAGUUCCGGGUUUCAAGGAUUCCGGCUAACGGAGAAGGCUGCUGUUCCUACCAGAAAUCAGUUUCAAAUGCGAGUAUGUGACAGACUUUGAGGCAAGAGGAUGUCUUUUAAAUGCUUUUAACACCCUUAUUUACUUGAAUAAUGAA
This 199-nucleotide long non-coding RNA is filed under the name Homarus americanus (American lobster). Its description in RNAcentral is "uncharacterized LOC121856719, transcript variant X1". Lineage: Eukaryota; Metazoa; Arthropoda; Malacostraca; Decapoda; Nephropidae. The record is from RNAcentral.